AAUGAACGCUGGCGGCAUGCCUAACACAUGCAAGUCGAACGAAGGCUUCGGCCUUAGUGGCGCACGGGUGCGUAACGCGUGGGAAUCUGCCCUUGGGUUCGGAAUAACAGUUAGAAAUGACUGCUAAUACCGGAUGAUGUCGUAAGACCAAAGAUUUAUCGCCCAAGGAUGAGCCCGCGUAGGAUUAGCUAGUUGGUGGGGUAAAGGCCUCCCAAGGCGACGAGCCUUAGCUGGUCUGAGAGGAAGAGCAGCCACACUGGGACUGAGACACGGCCCAGACUCCUACGGGAGGCAGCAGUGGGGAAUAUUGGACAACGGGCGAAAGCCUGAUCCAGCAAUGCCGCGUGAGCGAUGAAGGCCUUAGGGUUGUAAAGCUCUUUUACCCGGGAUGAUAAUGACAGUACCGGGAGAAUAAGCUCCGGCUAACUUCGUG
This 433-nucleotide ribosomal RNA is filed under the name uncultured bacterium. Its description in RNAcentral is "partial 16S ribosomal RNA". It matches the Rfam family "Bacterial small subunit ribosomal RNA", at positions 29 to 507 of the family's 1533-position model. The record is from RNAcentral.